AUUGAGUUGGCUUUUAAACCUUGGCUCGACAAGGCUCGAGCCUCCAUGGACAAGUCCGACCCUACUCGUGAUCCUGACGACAUCGAUCUCGACGCCGGCGCUAAGGCGUCGUCGGAUGAAAUCGACCCUGCAGCUGCCUCCUCCUCCUCCUCAGCGGCCCCCUCUGAUUGAUUAAUCCUGCCAUCCAAAACUACCAAUAAGUUGCUUAUUCCCCUCUACAUAUUCCUACGAGUUAGAUCUGAUAUUGUUUUUUAUUGCUUCAAAUUUCUGGAUUGGUAUAGAUUUGAAUCUGUGUUCUCUUAAUUUGUUGAAUCAAACUUAUAGUUUUGAAAUUUCGCAUUAAGAUUUUUAAACCCUGUUCGACGAUUACGAAUUGAUAAAAAUAUCGGUGAUAUCAAACGAGCGUAAACAGAAUCGAUUCAUCAAAAUCAUAUGAUAUGAUUUACAUGCUUACCAAUCUGUCUAUGGAGUUAAUGCAAGCAUCCGGCAACAACCAAGCUGUUAAUCAUUAUGUAAAGCAUGUGUUGUGGCCGGCAUAGGUCCAUCCGGAGAUCUAUCUAAUUCAUUAAUGAAGAAGAUAAUGAUCCUUUAAAACAAUGAACAUGUAUCAUCACUUAUUAUCCAUGCCCUACAAUGGAACAACUCUUUUUAUAUGUUUGUUUCUUAGUUAAUGAAAACUUACAAAAAAAAAAAACAUAAUCAUAAAACACAAAUCCAAUGAUACCCAUAAGAAUUGUUUGGUUUACAUAUUGAAAAUGAUUAUUAAAUGGUUUAAGAAUCAACAAUUUGGAUAUUUAUCUUUGGAUUUUGUUUAGUAGGAUGCAAUUGAAUAAUUAAAGAUGGUAAUGGUAAUGGAAUAGAUCAUCACAUUUUAUGUCAUCUUUAGUGGACCCGAUGAAAUUGGGCAUUCAAAUAUUUCUUUGUUAUAAAAAAAAACAAAGUAAACUGAAUCAAAAUGAUAAAUAAAGAAAAAUAAUAGUAAUAAUUUAUAAUAGUAAAUUUUAAUUAAAUAAAAAUCCAUUGUUAGAUGAUUUAGACAAUAUCCUUAUUAUUUAUCUAGGUCAUCAAUUAUAUCCUUAUUAUUUAUCUAGGUCAUAAAUUAUAUCUUUAAACUAGCAACUUAAAGCUUUUACAAUUAACUUUAGUUUGACAAUUCUUUAAACUUUAAUACUAAUCAUUUUAUGUAAAUUAAGAGCCUUUUUAGUAAAAAAAAUGAUAAACUACACCGUCUGAGUAGUCCACGUCAAUUUAUCAUAAAACUCAAGUGUUAGGUUAAUUGUGAAACACUAGUAAUAACCAUCUGAACAGUCCACGUCAACAUAUCCUAAAACUCAAGAGUGAGGUUAAUUGUGAAACACUAGUAGUAUUUAAAAUUAUUAACGUAACUUUUGCAAACAAAAAAGAAAACAUAAUGGUCAACCUUUAGCAUUGUGUAAAAUAUAUUUUAACAAUUAUUUGAGAUUGGUUAUGUAGUUUUGUUAAAAGAUACCACUUGAGUACAACUAUGAUAUUCACCACAUGUUUGGUGUAUGUGUUUUAAUUUUUGUGUGUUUUUUCAUAGAUAAGUAAAAUGACAAUUAUACUAUUUUUUUCCUUUUAACUAAUUUUAAUAAUAAUAACCCCCUCCCACACACUUGAAUAUCAUAACACAUUUGGAUAUUGUAGUACAUUUUUGGAUAUGAUGGCAUACUUGGAUAUAAUGGCACACUUGGAUACGAUGCACUACUCAAAUAUGAUGGCGCUUUUUGGUAUGGAGCAUCUGAUAGAAGAUUGGAGCAUCGAAGGAGGUGACAUGUACUGGAGGUGCCACUUAAUGAUACAUCAACAAGAGAAUGACACCUCUAAGAAGUGUCAUGCAUAGGAUGUGCCACUCAAUAGCACCUUGAAGACGUUCAAUGCACAUGAGGUGUCACUCAAUGUCACACUGAUGUUUCGUCAUGGCACCUCGACGUUGUGUCAUAGAGUGAUACAUGGUGCCUUCAAGUAACAAGGUGUGCCAUGCAAUGACACCGGAUGUGCCAGUGGUGGAUUGUUGAUGCCAAUGCGAUGUAUCUCAUGGGCCUAUGGAUUAAUGGGCUUGGCCCAUUAGGGUUUUAGGUCUGAUUCCUAGUCUAUAAAUAAGGAUGCAUGCUAGUCUUUUGAAAGUGUCUUGAAUCCUUAGUGAGUAGGUGAAUCUCUAUUGAAUUGUACUUGUAAUCUCUGUUUGAGAACUCAGUAAAUAAAGAAUACUCCCAUCCUGCCCGUAAACAUAGGCCAGCUUGACCGAACCACGUAAAUAUUGUGUCUUUGUGUGCUUUUGGUUUCGUGUUAUAAACAUUACUUCCCAACAAGGGUCAUCAGAUCUUGGCAAGUGGCAUCAAUUUUGUUCUUAUUGUUGACAAGUGUCGUAUGGUUUCCCUAACAAGUGUUAAUGUUCUGUUGAUUAAAUAUGACAUCUUACAAGUUUGAUUUGGAGAAAUUUAACGGUCCAAAUGAUUUCACUUUAUGGAAGGUGAAGAUGAAGGCUCUUCUUGUUCAACAAGGAUGUGAAGUGGCAUUGGAAGGAGAAGCGAAACUGCCAAAGGACAUGGCGGCUGAAAGGAAUGUGGAUAUUAUGGCAAGACCGCAUAACCCUAUUCUAUUGAAUUUGACAGGUGAAGUACCAAGAGAGGUCAUGGAUCAAACGAGUGUUGAUGACCUUUGUAAA
RNAcentral lists this long non-coding RNA (2686 nucleotides) under Lactuca sativa (garden lettuce). RNAcentral describes it as "long non-coding RNA (LSAT_LNC009102)". The record is from RNAcentral. Lineage: Eukaryota; Viridiplantae; Streptophyta; Magnoliopsida; Asterales; Asteraceae.